Molecule: ribosomal RNA, 255 nt
Filed under: Escherichia coli
Lineage: Bacteria; Pseudomonadati; Pseudomonadota; Gammaproteobacteria; Enterobacterales; Enterobacteriaceae
Description: partial 23S ribosomal RNA
Rfam family: Bacterial large subunit ribosomal RNA
Source: RNAcentral
CUUGACACUGAACAUUGAGCCUUGAUGUGUAGGAUAGGUGGGAGGCUUUGAAGUGUGGACGCCAGUCUGCAUGGAGCCGACCUUGAAAUACCACCCUUUAAUGUUUGAUGUUCUAACGUUGGCCCCUGAUCGGGGUUGCGGACAGUGUCUGGUGGGUAGUUUGACUGGGGCGGUCUCCUCCUAAAGAGUAACGGAGGAGCACGAAGGUUGGCUAAUCCUGGUCGGACAUCAGGAGGUUAGUGCAAUGGCAUAAGC